CACUGAAAGUUGUUAAGUAUUGGUGAA
Molecule: non-coding RNA, 27 nt
Filed under: Rattus norvegicus (Norway rat)
Lineage: Eukaryota; Metazoa; Chordata; Mammalia; Rodentia; Muridae
Source: RNAcentral